This is a long non-coding RNA of Cucumis melo (muskmelon), 397 nucleotides long. RefSeq lists it as uncharacterized. The record is from RefSeq and is a predicted model, not a curated record. The transcript is spliced from 3 exons. Lineage: Eukaryota; Viridiplantae; Streptophyta; Magnoliopsida; Cucurbitales; Cucurbitaceae.
GCUGUCUUAAGUGGACAGACGUUGGGAGAGAAUACAUUGAGGUCGUCAAGGGCGACCUCCAACGAUUGUUUGUGCUUGAUUUCAAUGAUCAAGCGAUGAACAGGUUUGUUGAGCAUCAGAUGCUCACGACCUUUAAAGAGUUCUGGACCGACUGUCAUAGACAUUUCAAAAAGUACAGCGACCCGGAGGAGGCUCGUGCCAACCCACCAAACGCAUUGGUUGGACGUGAUGAGGAUUGACACUUCCUCUGCGACCAUUAUAUUAGCCGUGCAUUCCAGGAGCAAUCACGGACGAACAAGGCUGCUAGACAGAAGCAGCCUUACAAUCAUAGUAGCGGGUCCAAGUCGUUUCUAUAACGACAAUAUGAGCUCGCUGAAAGAAAAGGGGAGCCGGUCGA